Molecule: small nucleolar RNA, 121 nt
Organism: Psammomys obesus (fat sand rat)
Lineage: Eukaryota; Metazoa; Chordata; Mammalia; Rodentia; Muridae
Product: small nucleolar RNA SNORA51
Exons: 1
Source: RefSeq, a predicted model, not a curated record
GGCCUCCCUGCGCUUACCAUGGGGCCUAUGAUCUCACAGUGCAUGUAUAGAGGGUUAACCUGCCCCAUCUACACCUCACCUAGGCCACUGUACCUGCUGUGUAUUGUGAAUGGAGACAUGG